RNAcentral lists this ribosomal RNA (470 nucleotides) under uncultured bacterium. Its description in RNAcentral is "bacterial SSU rRNA". It matches the Rfam family "Bacterial small subunit ribosomal RNA", at positions 29 to 506 of the family's 1533-position model. The record is from RNAcentral.
ACGAACGCUGGCGGCGUGCCUAACACAUGCAAGUCGAACGGAGAUAUUUGGAAGUAGCAAUACGGAAGGGUAUUUUAGUGGCGGACGGGUGAGUAAUACGCAGGAAACCUACCUUCAGACGGGGGGCAACCCAGGGAAACUUGGGCUAAUACCCUAUAAGACCACGGACUGAGAUGUCAGUGGUAAAAGGAGCAAUUCAUCUGGGGAUGGGCUUGCGGCCUAUCAGGUAGUUGGUGAGGUAAUGGCUCACCAAGCCUAAGACGGGUAGCCGGACUGAGAGGUCGAACGGCCACACUGGAACUGAGACACGGUCCAGACUCCUACGGGAGGCAGCAGUGGGGAAUCUUGCACAAUGGGCGAAAGCCUGAUGCAGCGACGCCGCGUGGAGGAAGAAGGCCUUCGGGUUGUAAACUCCUUUUAUUGGGGAAGAUAAUGACGGUACCCAAUGAAUAAGCCACGGCUAACUCUGU